GGAGAGGUGGCUGAGUGGCUCAAAGCAUCCUCCUGCUAAGAGGAAACGGGUUUUAAAAACCCGUCGCAGGUUCAAAUCCUGUCCUCUCCGCC
RNAcentral lists this transfer RNA (92 nucleotides) under Tolypothrix tenuis PCC 7101. RNAcentral describes it as "tRNA-Ser". It matches the Rfam family "tRNA". Rfam says of the family: Transfer RNA (tRNA) molecules are approximately 80 nucleotides in length. The record is from RNAcentral. RNAcentral also lists the same sequence under 1 other name. Lineage: Bacteria; Bacillati; Cyanobacteriota; Cyanophyceae; Nostocales; Tolypothrichaceae.